RNAcentral lists this transfer RNA (79 nucleotides) under Acidobacteriota bacterium. Its description in RNAcentral is "tRNA-Glu". It matches the Rfam family "tRNA". From Rfam's summary of the family: Transfer RNA (tRNA) molecules are approximately 80 nucleotides in length. Their secondary structure includes four short double-helical elements and three loops (D, anti-codon, and T loops). Further hydrogen bonds mediate the characteristic L-shaped molecular structure. tRNAs have two regions of fundamental functional importance: the anti-codon, which is responsible for specific mRNA codon recognition, and the 3' end, to which the tRNAs corresponding amino acid is attached (by aminoacyl-tRNA synthetases). tRNAs cope with the degeneracy of the genetic code in two manners: having more than one tRNA (with a specific anti-codon) for a particular amino acid; and 'wobble' base-pairing, i.e. permitting non-standard base-pairing at the 3rd anti-codon position. Lineage: Bacteria; Pseudomonadati; Acidobacteriota. The record is from RNAcentral.
GGGGCGUUAGGCAAGCCAGGUUCAAGCCGCUUGAUUUUCAAUCAAGAGAUGCGUGGGUUCAAAUCCACACGCCCUGCCA